ACACGACUACAUUAGAUACCCGUGUAGUCCUAGCCGUAAACGAUACUCGCUAGGUGUCGGCCACGGUGCGACCGUUGUCGGUGCCGUAGGGAAGCCGUGAAGCGAGCCACCUGGGAAGUACGGCCGCAAGGCUGAAACUUAAAGGAAUUGGCGGGGAGCACAACAACGGGUGGAGCCUGCGGUUUAAUUGGACUCAACGCCGGACAACUCACCGGGGACGACAGCAAUAUGUAGGCCAGGCUGAAGACCUUGCCUGAAUCGCUG
This 264-nucleotide ribosomal RNA is filed under the name uncultured archaeon. RNAcentral's name for it is "partial 16S ribosomal RNA". It matches the Rfam family "Archaeal small subunit ribosomal RNA", at positions 719 to 982 of the family's 1478-position model. The record is from RNAcentral.